CACGUAGGGUGCGAGCGUUGUCCGGAAUUAUUGGGCGUAAAGAGCUCGUAGGCGGUGUGUCGCGUCGGCCGUGAAAACCUGCAGCUUAACUGUGGGCUUGCGGUCGAUACGGGCAUCACUGGAGUUCGGCAGGGGGAGACUGGAAUUCCUGGUGUAGCGGUGAAAUGCGCAGAUAUCAGGAGGAACACCAACGGCGAAGGCAGCUCUCUGGGACGUUUACUGACGCUGAGA
Molecule: ribosomal RNA, 231 nt
Filed under: uncultured bacterium
Lineage: Bacteria
Description: partial 16S ribosomal RNA
Rfam family: Bacterial small subunit ribosomal RNA
Source: RNAcentral